Molecule: ribosomal RNA, 253 nt
Filed under: uncultured bacterium
Lineage: Bacteria
Description: partial 16S ribosomal RNA
Rfam family: Bacterial small subunit ribosomal RNA
Source: RNAcentral
UACGUAGGGGGCAAGCGUUGUCCGGAAUUAUUGGGCGUAAAGAGCUCGUAGGCGGUUCGUCGCGUCGGCUGUGAAAACCCGGAGCUCAACUCCGGGCCUGCAGUCGAUACGGGCGGACUAGAGUUCGGCAGGGGAGACUGGAAUUCCUGGUGUAGCGGUGAAAUGCGCAGAUAUCAGGAGGAACACCGGUGGCGAAGGCGGGUCUCUGGACCGUAACUGACGCUGAGGAGCGAAAGCGUGGGGAGCGAACAGG